GAGUGAAGAGGGAAAAGCCCAAAUUUGUAAUCUGGCUCUUUUAUAAGGGUCCGAGUUGUAAUUUUGAGAACUGUUUUCUGUGCUGGACCAUGUACAAGUCUGUUGGAAAACAGCAUCAUUGAGGGUGAUAAUCCCGUACAUGAUAUGGACUACCAGUGCAAUAUGAUACAGUCUCUAAGAGUCGAGUUGUUAGGGAAUGCAGCUCAAAGUGGGUGGUAAAUUCCAUCUAAGGCUAAAUAUAGGUGAGAGACCGAUAGCAAACAAGUACCGUGAGGGAAAGAUGAAAAGAACUUUGGAAAGAGAGUUAACAGUACGUGAAAUUGUUAAAAGGGAAACAUUUGAAGUUAGACUUGUUAUUAUUGGUUCAGCUUCUUUUUUUAAUUAGGAGUCUAUUCCAAUGGUUUGACAGACCAGCAUCAAUUUUUGAGUGUUAGAUAAGGGUCAUGAGAAUGUGGCAACCUUGGUUGUGUUAUAGCUCUUGGCUUAUAUAAUG
Molecule: ribosomal RNA, 493 nt
Filed under: Coleosporium neocacaliae
Lineage: Eukaryota; Fungi; Basidiomycota; Pucciniomycetes; Pucciniales; Coleosporiaceae
Description: eukaryotic LSU rRNA
Rfam family: Eukaryotic large subunit ribosomal RNA
Source: RNAcentral